GACGAACGCUGGCGGCGUGCUUAACACAUGCAAGUCGAACGGAAAGACCCUGCUUUUGUGUGGUGCUCGAGUGGCGAACGGGUGAGUAACACGUGAGUAACCUGCCCUUGACUGUGGGAUAACUUCAGGAAACUGGGGCUAAUACCGGAUAUGAGCUCCUGCUGCGUGGUGUGGGUUGGAAAGUUUCGGCGGUUGGGGAUGGACUCGCGGCUUAUCAGCUUGUUGGUGUGGUAGUUGCUUACCAAGGCUUUGACGGGUAGCCGGCCUGAGAGGGUGACCGGCCACAUUGGGACUGAGAUACGGAGCAGACUCCUACGGGAGGCAGUAGUGGGGAAUAUUGCACAAUGGGGGGAAGUGUGAUGAAGCAACGCCGCGUGCGGGAUGACGGCCUUCGGGUUGUAAACCGCUUUCGCCUGUGACGAAGAGUGAGUGACGGUAAUGGGUAAAGAAGCACCGGCUAACUACGUG
This 468-nucleotide ribosomal RNA is filed under the name uncultured bacterium. RNAcentral's name for it is "partial 16S ribosomal RNA". It matches the Rfam family "Bacterial small subunit ribosomal RNA", at positions 28 to 507 of the family's 1533-position model. The record is from RNAcentral.